RNAcentral lists this small nucleolar RNA (77 nucleotides) under Mus spicilegus (steppe mouse). Lineage: Eukaryota; Metazoa; Chordata; Mammalia; Rodentia; Muridae. The record is from RNAcentral.
CCCAUGAUGUCUGGGACUGGGCUCUAGUCAUCCUUAAGGACAAGUUUCCUAGAGCCUUGACACCUGAGAGUCUGAGG